CUUUAGUCUGCCAUGCUCUUGCACAAAAACCAGUGCGAAACGAAACUUUGUUGUGCGGUGUUUGUCAGUCGGUCGGUUGUCAUUUGCCGUUAAAAAAAAUCAAUGUAUAACUUAUGAUUGCUGUGUUUUUAAAAAUUUAUACUCAUUUUACUACUUUUACUCUCUCAUUCUCUGUCUAAGUUUUGUUGUUUUUGUUUUGCUAUCAAAUUAACAAAAACAUGUGUGUUUGUUUGUGAAAGCAAAGUAAAUCUCCCAUAAAGAAAAUUUCACAAAAGAAAACAACGACAAAAAAACGCACAAGUACAAACACACGCACCAGAGCAAAAAGAAAAGAGAACAGUCGUCGUCGUCAAACACAUUUGAAAAAACAAAAAUCCUAACAAAGUCAACUGUGCUGCCAUAGAAAAGAUUUCUGUAAAGAGCUCUGCCUUCGUCGCUGCUGCUGAGUUUCCUUUAGAUCAGUUUUGUUUUUUCUGCACUUCAGUAUAAAAUUAAAUACAACUGUCAAGUUAGUGUGCGGUUAGUUGCGGCUUAGUGUAGAGUGUAUUUAAGCGUAUUGUGUGUAUCGCGUUGUUAUUUCAUUUAACUACAUGAAGCAAGAGCAACAACAUUAUUUAUUAAAUUAAUGGAUAUAGACGCUACUCAACACGACUCGUACAAAUAAUAAAACAAAUUACGCAUAUUAUAAAUAAAUAAAAUUGAAAAUAAAAAAAGAAA
Molecule: long non-coding RNA, 717 nt
Organism: Lucilia cuprina (Australian sheep blowfly)
Lineage: Eukaryota; Metazoa; Arthropoda; Insecta; Diptera; Calliphoridae
Exons: 3
Source: RefSeq, a predicted model, not a curated record